AACCACCAUUGCUGAGAUUGUCGGUCCAGUAAGCAGUCCAGGCAGGCCUCCACGGUCCAUUGCAACUAGGGUUGCCAACUCCAGGAAAGAAACAAAGGUGAACUAAAGCUUUUCUACUGGAUUCCUGUUGGCGGCAGGCAUGGAGAGUGGGGAUCCUUCCUGAGGCGGAGGGAGGGUGACCCAAACUGGACACAACCUGCUAAACGCAGCAGUGCCGAGGAUGGAUAUUAUAAUGGCCCUGCAGGCCACAUCACCCCUUCCACCCCUGAAGCUGCUGUAAUUUUCCUGCCCUGUCUUAUCGCUGUGGUGAGGGGGGGAACUUGACCCUUAGACCCCAAACUUAUUUGCCCAGGAAGUGUCUCUGUUAGCAGUUGUAUAUCA
Long non-coding RNA from Eublepharis macularius, 381 nucleotides. RefSeq lists it as uncharacterized. The transcript has 3 exons. The record is from RefSeq and is a predicted model, not a curated record. Lineage: Eukaryota; Metazoa; Chordata; Lepidosauria; Squamata; Eublepharidae.